RNAcentral lists this long non-coding RNA (729 nucleotides) under Ananas comosus (pineapple). RNAcentral describes it as "long non-coding RNA (ACOM_LNC001818)". The record is from RNAcentral. Lineage: Eukaryota; Viridiplantae; Streptophyta; Magnoliopsida; Poales; Bromeliaceae.
AUACGCAACCAAUUCACUUAAAGCGUACAGAAACAGCGCCACGGGUCUCGAUUAUGACUCGGCCCACCUGGCCUAACGCCACUUUGAACAUGACUCGGCCCAACCCAGCCUCAACGCCAUUUCGAACAUGACUCGGCCCACAUGGCCUCCCGCCACAGGGCAGGAUGCUGGCCCAUUUAAGCCAACAAUCCCCCCUCCAGCACCUGGACACAUUUGCAGCAUGCAGGAAUCGAACCCCUAACCUCUGGCUCUGAUACCAUUUGUCGGAUCGUUGGCGCUAAACAUUAAUCCCAAAAGCUCGAGCUGUUAGAAAUACGCAACCAAUUCACUUAAAGCGUACAAAAACAGCGCCCACGGGUCUCGAUUGUGACUCGGCCUACCUGGCCUCACACCACUUCGAACAUGACUCGACCCAAUCCAGCCUCACGCCAUUUCGAACAUGACUCGGCCCACAUGGCCUCCCGCCACAGGGCAGAAUGCUGGCCCAUUUAAGCCAACACUUUACUCUUUGGCAUGGAAUUCUAAUCACUUUGGUGAAGCACAACCCACCUUCGGUGAAGUACAACCCACCUAAGAGUUAUGGACAACUCUUAGGCUUUGCACUUAUGAGUGCUCAUUACUAUACAAUAAUGGAUGGUUUAGUGGGCAAGUUAUGAUAGGCUAGAUUCAUUGUAUCUUAGGCCUAUAAAUUAUAAAAAUAGUUAAGGCCAAGACACAAGGGGGAGUGUA